GCGGGUAUGGCGAAAUUGGCAGACGCAUCAGAUUUAGGUUCUGACGGGGCAACCCGUGGGGGUUCAAGUCCCUCUACCCGCACCA
Molecule: transfer RNA, 85 nt
Filed under: Micavibrio aeruginosavorus
Lineage: Bacteria; Pseudomonadati; Bdellovibrionota; Bdellovibrionia; Bdellovibrionales; Pseudobdellovibrionaceae
Description: tRNA-Leu
Rfam family: tRNA
About the family: Transfer RNA (tRNA) molecules are approximately 80 nucleotides in length.
Source: RNAcentral